CGGCGUGCUUAACACAUGCAAGUCGAACGGAAAGGCCCUGCUUUUGUGGGGUGCUCGAGUGGCGAACGGGUGAGUAACACGUGAGUAACCUGCCCUUGACUUUGGGAUAACUUCAGGAAACUGGGGCUAAUACCGGAUAGGAGCUCCUGCUGCAUGGUGGGGGUUGGAAAGUUUCGGCGGUUGGGGAUGGACUCGCGGCUUAUCAGCUUGUUGGUGGGGUAGUGGCUUACCAAGGCUUUGACGGGUAGCCGGCCUGAGAGGGUGACCGGCCACAUUGGGACUGAGAUACGGCCCAGACUCCUACGGGAGGCAGCAGUGGGGAAUAUUGCACAAUGGGCGGAAGCCUGAUGCAGCAACGCCGCGUGCGGGAUGACGGCCUUCGGGUUGUAAACCGCUUUCGCCUGUGACGAAGCGUGAGUGACGGUAAUGGGUAAAGAAGCACCGGCUAACUACGUGCCAGCAGCCGCGGUGAUACGUAGGGUGCGAGCGUUGUCCGGAUUUAUUGGGCGUAAAGGGCUCGUAGGUGGUUGAUCGCGUCGGAAGUGUAAUUUUGGGGCUUAACCCUGAGCGUGCUUUCGAUACGGGUUGACUUGAGGAAGGUAGGGGAGAAUGGAAUUCCUGGUGGAGCGGUGGAAUGCGCAGAUAUCAGGAGGAACACCAGUGGCGAAGGCGGUUCUCUGGGCCUUUCCUGACGCUGAGGAGCGAAAGCGUGGGGAGCGAACAGGCUUAGAUACCCUGGUAGUCCACGCCGUAAACGGUGGGUACUAGGUGUGGGGUCCAUUCCACGGGUUCCGUGCCGUAGCUAACGCUUUAAGUACCCCGCCUGGGGAGUACGGCCGCAAGGCUAAAACUCAAAGGAAUUGACGGGGCCCCGCACAAGCGGCGGAGCAUGCGGAUUAAUUCGAUGCAACGCGUAGAACCUUACCUGGGUUUGACAUGGAUCGGGAGUGCUCAGAGAUGGGUGUGCCUCUUUUGGGGUCGGUUCACAGGUGGUGCAUGGCUGUCGUCAGCUCGUGUCGUGAGAUGUUGGGUUAAGUCCCGCAACGAGCGCAACCCUUGUUCACUGUUGCCAGCACGUUAUGGUGGGGACUCAGUGGAGACCGCCGGGGUCAACUCGGAGGAAGGUGGGGAUGACGUCAAGUCAUCAUGCCCCUUAUGUCCAGGGCUUCACGCAUGCUACAAUGGCUGGUACAGAGAGUGGCGAGCCUGUGAGGGUGAGCGAAUCUCGGAAAGCCGGUCUCAGUUCGGAUUGGGGUCUGCAACUCGACCUCAUGAAGUCGGAGUCGCUAGUAAUCGCAGAUCAGCAACGCUGCGGUGAAUACGUUCCCGGGGCUUGUACACACCGCCCGUCAAGUCAUGAAAGUUGGUAACACCCGAAGCCGGUGGCCUAACCGUUGUGGGGGAGCCGUCGAAGGUGGGACUGGUGAUUAGGACUAAGUCAG
RNAcentral lists this ribosomal RNA (1442 nucleotides) under uncultured organism. RNAcentral describes it as "partial small subunit ribosomal RNA". It matches the Rfam family "Bacterial small subunit ribosomal RNA". The record is from RNAcentral.